This 356-nucleotide ribosomal RNA is filed under the name uncultured bacterium. RNAcentral describes it as "bacterial SSU rRNA". It matches the Rfam family "Bacterial small subunit ribosomal RNA", at positions 9 to 353 of the family's 1533-position model. The record is from RNAcentral.
GAGUUUGAUCAUGGGCUCAGGAUGAACGCUAGCUACAGGCUUAGCACAUGCAAGUCGAGGGGAAACGACAUCGAAAGCUUGCUUUUGGUGGGCGUCGACCGGCGCACGGGUGAGUAACGCGUAUCCAACCUGCCCACCACUUGGGGAUAACCUUGCGAAAGUAAGACUAAUACCCAAUGAUAUCUCUAGAAGACAUCUGAAAGAGAUUAAAGAUUUAUCGGUGAUGGAUGGGGAUGCGUCUGAUUAGCUUGUUGGCGGGGUAACGGCCCACCAAGGCAACGAUCAGUAGGGGUUCUGAGAGGAAGGUCCCCCACAUUGGAACUGAGACACGGUCCAAACUCCUACGGGAGGCAGCA